Molecule: small nuclear RNA, 107 nt
Filed under: Castor canadensis (American beaver)
Lineage: Eukaryota; Metazoa; Chordata; Mammalia; Rodentia; Castoridae
Source: RNAcentral
GUGCUCACUUCAGCAGCACAUAUACUAAAAUUGGAACACUACAGAGAAGAUUGGUAUGGCCCCUAUGCAAUGAUGACACUCAAAUUCAUGAAGAUUAAACUCAGGGC